GUCUACGGCCAUGCUACCCUGAACACACCCAAUCUUGUCUGCUCUCAGAAGCUAAGCAGGGUCGGGCCUGGUUAGUACUUGGAUGGGAGACCAUCUAGGAAGACCAGGUGCUGUAGGCA
RNAcentral lists this ribosomal RNA (119 nucleotides) under Pteropus alecto (black flying fox). The record is from RNAcentral. Lineage: Eukaryota; Metazoa; Chordata; Mammalia; Chiroptera; Pteropodidae.